This 509-nucleotide long non-coding RNA is filed under the name Setaria viridis. RNAcentral's name for it is "long non-coding RNA (SVIR_LNC001986)". Lineage: Eukaryota; Viridiplantae; Streptophyta; Magnoliopsida; Poales; Poaceae. The record is from RNAcentral.
ACAAGAGGUCUGAUCCCACUGACGAGUUCCGCAAAGGCACGCUUCUUGGAAUCGCAAUAUGAAAUUGAAGAAGGAGCUUUGUUUUCUCCAUGUCCAGACUUGAUGAUGCAACCUUUUAGCUAGGAGGCAUUCCAUAUUCUUGCUGAAGACUCAAGAUAACCCCUCGCGCAAUUAUUUAUCUUUUUCCUGAUCUCUCUGCUCAAAACAAGUACAGGACUACCAUGGGCUAUUCAGCAAACCACAGAUGUCGCAAGCAAUCAAUCAAACCAGUGACGACGAAUAUCAGCCCACAAUUUUUAUUCUUCCCACUGCCAGCAGAAUGGCAGAUGCCAAAGAAGAUUCCAAACACCUCUCUCUCUCUCUCUCUCUCUCUCUCUCUCUCUCUCUACACACUUUACCAUCUCCUUUUCUCCUCCACUAGAAUUGCCCAUUUUUGCAAUUUUUUUCUCCCUAUGAAACCACCCAAUUUUCAACUAUAAAUGCCCCCCUCCUCCAAGCUUCAAUUCCCU